CUGAGAAUCUAUUAAAAUGGGAAUCCGACCAAUUGGUUUCUAAUAAUUCAGGAAGGAAAUUAUCAUAUUUCUACAAUUCAAUUAGAUGUUAAAUCUAGAAAUAUACUUUUUUGUGAUUGUCAAAGAUGUUUUUUUUUGUUGGAACCUACUCCCUUUUAUUUAAUUUUAAAGAGUGGAAUUGGUUAGUCGUCCAGUAACAAUAAUAGCAGUAAUAAAUUAAAUACUAUUUGAUGGAAGAAAAAGUUGAUUAGUUGUUCUUGUAUUAGACACAAAAAAGGUUCUUUCUUGGCUUAAUUACAAGGAUAAAGCUUUUUUUUAUAAAAAUUAUAAAUAGAAAAGGGGAAAGAAAAAAACGGCGGAAUACCAGUUUCGAGUGAUCUGAUACCCUCUUUCUUCUCGUUGUAGAUAUUAGAAGAAUGGAAACUCCUACUACUAAAUCUAAUGGAUUAAAAUGAAAGUAAAAAAGUAAAUGACAUUCUAAGGUCACUCUUUCUUCUUUUCUUCUAAACUGAAGAAGGAAAAUAGAACAAAUUAGAUACAAUAAAAAAAAACAAGGGGGGUUUUCAAAUAGAUAUUUUUC
Molecule: long non-coding RNA, 580 nt
Filed under: Lupinus mutabilis
Lineage: Eukaryota; Viridiplantae; Streptophyta; Magnoliopsida; Fabales; Fabaceae
Description: partial ncRNA
Source: RNAcentral